Molecule: ribosomal RNA, 403 nt
Filed under: Craugastor sp. AJC 0890
Lineage: Eukaryota; Metazoa; Chordata; Amphibia; Anura; Craugastoridae
Description: partial 16S ribosomal RNA
Rfam family: Bacterial large subunit ribosomal RNA
Source: RNAcentral
CCGUGCGWAGGUAGCACAAUCACUUGUCUCUUAAAUCGGGACCUGUAUGAAUGGCAUCACGAGGAUUCAACUGUCUCCCCUCAUUAAUCAGUGAAACUAAUCUCCCUGUGAAAAAGCAGGGCUACUUAUACAAGACGAGAAGACCCUAUGGAGCUUAAAACUAAUAACAUUUGCUCUACUUUAUCUAGUAACCAUCCAGCAUUAUGCUUAUACGUUUUCGGUUGGGGUGACCCUGGAAAAAAGCCUAACUUCCAUGCUGGCAAAUACAAGAACCUCAAUUCUACAAAUCAAUAUAUUGACACAAUUGACCCAAGCACUUGAUCAACGAACCAAGUUACCCUAGGGAUAACAGCGCUAUCCACUUCAAGAGUACAUAUCAACAAGUGGGCUUACGACCUCGAUG